Molecule: ribosomal RNA, 808 nt
Filed under: Pseudomma izuensis
Lineage: Eukaryota; Metazoa; Arthropoda; Malacostraca; Mysida; Mysidae
Description: SSU rRNA
Rfam family: Eukaryotic small subunit ribosomal RNA
Source: RNAcentral
UAUUAAAGUUGUUGCGGUUAAAAAGCUCGUAGUUGGAUCUCAGUUCCUGAUCGACGGUUCGCCUCUGGUGAUUUACUGUCGGUCAGAACAGCUCGUCGGCUCGCUCGGGGUGCUCUUUACCGAGUGUCCCGCGUGGCCGGCACAUUUACUUUGAAAAAAUUAGAGUGCUCAGAGCAGGCUUACCGCUUGAAUAGUUGUGCAUGGAAUAAUGGAAUAGGACCUCGGUUCUAUUUUGUUGGUUUUCGGAACCCGAGGUAAUGAUAAAUAGAGACGGACGGGGGCAUUCGUAUUGCGACGCUAGAGGUGAAAUUCUUGGACCGUCGCAAGACGAACUACUGUGAAAGCAUUUGCCAAGAACGUUCUCAUUAAUCAAGAACGAAAGUUAGAGGUUCGAAGGCGAUCAGAUACCGCCCUAGUUCUAACCAUAAACGAUGCUGACUAGCGAUCCGUCUGUGUUAAUCCCAUGACUAGACGGGCAGCUUCCGGGAAACCAAAGUCUUUGAGUUCCGGGGGAAGUAUGGUUGCAAAGCUGAAACUUAAAGGAAUUGACGGAAGGGCACCACCAGGAGUGGAGCCUGCGGCUUAAUUUGACUCAACACGGGGAACCUCACCAGGCCCGGACACCGGAAGGAUUGACAGAUUGAGAGCUCUUUCUUGAUUCGGUGGGUGGUGGUGCAUGGCCGUUCUUAGUUGGUGGAGCGAUUUGUCUGGUUAAUUCCGAUAACGAACGAGACUUUAGCCUACUAACUAGUCGGAGGAUCUAAUACAAGUGUCCUCUGUAGCUUCUUAGAGGGAUAAGCGGCAUCUA